GGACAACGGGGAGCGGCCGUGGGUGGGGACACCGCGGUGACAGUGCCACGUGGGGUGGGGACCCCCAAGUGACAGUGCCACGUGGGGUGGGGACAGUGGCACUAUGGGGUGGGGACAUUGCAGUGACAAUGGCACUAUGGGGAUGGGGCCAGUGCCACCAUGGGGUGGGGACCCCCAAGUGACAGGGCCAAGUGGGGUGGGGACCCCCAAGUGACAGGGCCACAUGGGGUGGGGACAGUGGCACUAUGGGGAUGGGGACCCCCAAGUGACAGUGCCACUACGGGGAUGGGGACCCCCAAGUGAUAGGGCCAUGUGGGGUGGAGACCCCCAAGUGACAGUGCCACUAUGGGAUGGGGACCCCUGAGUGACAGUGCCACUAUGGGGUGGGGACAGUGCCACGUGGGGUGGGGACCCCUAGGUGACAGUGCCACUAUGGGGUGGGGACCCCCAGGUCACAGGGCCACUAUGGGGAUGGGGACAGUGGCACUAUGGGGUGGGGACCCCUAAGUGACAGUACCACUGUGGGGUGGGGACAGUGGAACUAUGGGGAUGGGGACCCCCAAGUGCCAGGGCCACUAUGGGGAUGGGACCAGUGGCACUACAGGGAUGGGGACCCCCAAGUGACAGGGCCACGUGGGGAUGGGGACCCCCAAGUGACAGUACCACUAUGGGGGUGGGGACCCCCAAGUGACAGCGCCACGUGGGGUGGGGAUCCCUGAGUGACAGUGGUACUACGGGGGUGGGGACCCCCAAGUGACGAUGCUAGUAUGGGGAUGGGGACCCCCAAGUGAUAGGGCCUCUAUGGGGUGGGGACCCCCAAGUAACAGUGCCACAAUGGGGUGGGGAUGGUGCCACCAUGGGGUGGGGACCCCCAGGUGACAGUGCCACUAUGGGGAUGGGGACAGUGCUACUAUGGGGUGGGGACCCCCAAGUGACAGGGCCACAUGGGGUGGGGACCCCCAAGUGACAGUGCCACGUGGGGGGGGGACCCCAAAGUGACAGUGCCACUAUGAGGAUGGGGCCAGUGCCACCAUGGGGUGGGGACCCCCAGGUGACAAUGCUAGUAUGGGGAUGGGGACCCCCAAGUGCCAGUGCCACCAUGGGGUGGGGACCCCCAAGUGACAAU
Molecule: long non-coding RNA, 1126 nt
Filed under: Numida meleagris (helmeted guineafowl)
Lineage: Eukaryota; Metazoa; Chordata; Aves; Galliformes; Numididae
Description: lncRNA (ENSNMEG00000012930.1)
Source: RNAcentral